Molecule: long non-coding RNA, 27350 nt
Filed under: Malus domestica (apple)
Lineage: Eukaryota; Viridiplantae; Streptophyta; Magnoliopsida; Rosales; Rosaceae
Description: long non-coding RNA (MDOM_LNC008002)
Source: RNAcentral
CAAGUCUUGCCGGGAAUACCUGCAAACGCAACAUCUGUGAUAUUUGCACCAGAUAAGAAGUCAUGAGCGUAGAAAGACAGGUGGGUUUCCUUGAACUCGUGAGUGGCUCGGAUCGCUGGAAAUGUAGUCAUGGCUAGAAUAACCAUGACGAAAAACAUGGAUGGAGCGCUGAGCUUUGGUAUGAAUUUUAACGCCAUUAGUGGAUGCAUGACAGCUAAUUGAGCAAACAAGAGAAAAGGUUAAUUAGGAAAAAUUAGGGAACAAUUAAGGUUUUGAAACUGCUUGGUGAGGUUCAGUCAUGGGUAUGCUUUCAAUUUCUUGUUGAACAAAAAGAGUAUACAAGAUAACUCUAAUUAUUCCAAGAAGAAGAAAAUAAAGCACACUCUAAAGAAAGCUCACAAAAACACUAAUUAGCAAAGCUUUUCUUAUUUAGCACUUAGCUUUGUUUUUCCUUUGGAUGAUUUACAAGGCUUGGGGACUUGGGUAUUUAUAGCAAACCAAAUGAAAGCUACUUAAUUAAACUAAGAUUAUUUACUACCACACAAAACACAUUAAUUGCACCUAAUUAUUUUUUCCACACAACCAUACCUAACAUUGCCUAACAUUGCUUAACUUUGACAUUGACUAACAUUGACUAACUUUGCCUAACUUUGACAUUGACUAACAUUGCCUAACAUUGCCUAACUUUGACAUUGAUUCUCAACAUUUAUAACAUGAAAAAUGUUGGUAUUCAAAGUUUACUAACUCAAUACCAAAAAAUGUGGGUGAUAAGUUUUCUAACUCUAUCACAUCUCUCACUUUCACUCUCAAUUAAAAUUGGACAAAAGAAAGAAAGAUGCAGUAAGUUUUGAGAAAAAUAUUCUGAAGAGUUUACAACUUUUAUUUCUAGAAUAGGAUUACUUCAAACGUACAUAACCAAAGACUAAUACAUGCAAAAACAAAAGAACCCCACAAGUGGCUUUAAUAACAAUACAAAACAACGACUUUCUAAACCUAGUGUUGAAAUCUAUCAAAGCAAAACAAAUGAAUGUGUUCAAAAAAGUCUUCACACCCUUUUAACACUUUGGCCACUUCAGACACACACACAAAAGCUAUCAAAGAAAAUACACGUAUAACUGUUGAAAAAACAAGGCAGCUAGCUGAAAAGUGUUCCACCAAUUAUGGCCCCUCAAUAGCUGUUGAUUUGAACUCCCAACACGCCGCCUCAAAUCAAAAUGCCUAGCAUUUCACGCAGCAACUUGAAUGACUUAACCGGCAGUGGCUUUGUGAAGAUGUCUACCACUUGUUCCUUGUUUGUGACAAUAGACAAGCUCAAUUGUCUUUUGCUUCAUAUGGUCCCUCAUAAAAUGGAACCUGGUAUCAAUGUGUUUGCUCCUUCCAUGUUGGACUGGAUUCCUAGCAAACUUGAUAGCUGAAAUGUUAUCCACAUGAAUCACAGUCGAUUCCGCUUGUGGAUGACAUAAGGAUUUCAACAGAUUUCUUAACCAAAUUGCCUCACACACAGUUAAGGCUACAACAACGUACUAGCAUCGCAACUUUAGGGAGGGGGAGGUUCUAUUUGCUUUAGAGUCCACCACAUAAAUGGAAGGAGGUCUGUGAGAUUGUGACAGUGAGGUGCAGAGAAGAAGAGAGGUUGAGUGGCAGCAAUCCUGGCGGUGCUCAUGGCGAUUGGCUGGCGUUGACUGAGAUGAACAUCUUCUUCUUCGUUUCCCCUCCUUCUGUUCUUCCCCUUCCUUCCCACAAAACCCAAUUCCUCUGCCGACCACCAUGAACCACCACCACCACCUCUAGGUUCCAUCCAACCACCCAGAAUAAAACUCUUCUCUCCCUGCAUCUUCUUUUGGAUAUCGGAUCUCCCGACCUCUUCUCCGCCGCUGCAUCUCUUGAUGAAAUUGAAGUUCCACCAUAAAGCCAUGCAUCUCUUGAUGAAAUUGAAGUUCUACCAUAAAACCAAUUGGUAAUAUAGGGAGUAGCCCAAGACUAUAUAAGUACAUAGCAAACAUUGUCCCUCACCGAUGUGGGACAACUCUCAACACGCCCUCACACGUGUGGCGGAUUUUCAAGCCUACACGUGGACAACAACUGGGUGACGUGGAGCGUGUGUGGCCGUUUGGCUUCACACGAGGACAACCUCGCUCUGAUACCAUGAUGAAAUUGAGGUUUCACCAUAAAACCAAUUGGUAAUAUGGAGAGUAGUCCAAGACCAUAUAAGCACAUAGCAAAUCUUGUCCCUCACCGAUGUGGGACAACUCUCAACAUCUCCGACCCCUACAAACAAACAAAGAUUUGUCAAUUUUUGUUUCUUUCCUUUUCUUAUCUAGUUCAGUAUCAAACAUAGUAUAAAUAAUAUGAUCAUUAGUCUGAUACUGCACCAAACACCCAACUAAUUUAGUCAGUACUAUCUGGUGAGUAUUUAUCAUAUCUGACAGAAAUAGUCUGUACAGUCCGAGCUGCCAAACGAGGCCUUAGUCUUAGCACAAAUUGUUUUUACUUACACAAACAUCAGGGUAUGCAAAUUUUAUUUCAAAUACGUGGUAUAUCAUCUCUGAGCAGUGCAUGGGAACAUAUAUUUAAGGUUGUAGUGACUUCUCAUCUCUCAAAACCUUUGUCACCUUCUUGAUGUAGGAGAAGCCAAGGGUAAAUGAAUAUAAUGUGGGAUAAUAACCUGGGAAUCACUCAACCAGGGCAACGAAACUCGCUCUAUGUUGCUAUGGGACAUAACUUGAGAAUCACUCGACCAGGGGCAACAGAAUCAUUCACGUUACUAAUCAUGAUUUCUCUCUCUUUCUCUCUCCCUUUCCUUUCUCGUUGCGCAAUUUGUUAUUUAGGGUUAGGUUUGUAUGAAUUUGUAGUUUGAAUUGUAAAUAAUUAGGGUUUGGUACUGUUAUAUGGUGUUUGAAAUGUGUUGUUGUGUUGGGAACUUGGGACAGUCGCUGAAGCUAACAAGCAAGACACCGAGUGUAGAGUCGGGAGCUCAUGAUUGGUAUUGAAGGCAAACUACUACAAACAAUCAAGAGUGCCAAUUCAGAAAGAGAGCUGCGAUUCUCACAAAUUGUACAAUGGUUGGAGGCAAGGUGGUCACGACCACUACAAUGAGUCGGAUGUGCGUGAGCCAUAACUCUAUGAGGAUACAAGGAAGACUUGACACUGCAGAGGGUUUGAUGCUAGCUUGGUCUGUGAAACUAGGCAUGUCGAGGAAAGCAAGCAAACGCAAAACAAGUAGAAGACAUACUCGCGCGGUACCAUAGCAAGCCUAGCCUAGUUAUGCAAUGCAUAAGAAGCAGGGGUAGGUACGAUAUCUGAAGCCAAGAGAAUGCAAACGGACAUGAACAUGACACAGAGGUUAAGCUUAUAAGAUUUUAUUUCAUAAUAUUAUAUAUAGACUUUUAAAACAUAUUCUCACGAACUCAGUUUUGCAUUUCCAUCUAGGAAAUAAGCACACCAUAUAUAACAUACCAUAACAUAAAUGAACACUACAUAUCAUAUAACCUGAUCCAGCAUGAACUCAGUUCUACCCAAUUAAAUACAUUUCUGUUCACGAGUCAACCAUAGCCGAUUGGAACUUGCCUCCUACUAUCUCUCUUCCCUUUUUCACGGGGCAGUCUUCAGUCCUGUGGUCAUAAGUAGAAGAACAAAUCCUGCAAUAAUUACCAACAGCUUUUCCUACCCAUUCCUCACCAGGAUGGCCACCCUCUUUUUGACAACAUAUGCAAACGAGUUUACCGCCGGGGCCAACUUUUUCACCCUUUGGGACAUAGUACCGGUACGGACAAAUUGUAACCACAUGAUCCUCCCUCAAACAGAGUCGACAUCUCACGUCAUGAACAACAGUUGAAGAGUCUGCACAAGCAUUCAAGUUAGUCGAGCAUGCUAAUCCUAACUUUUGACACCAUAAACAUGUGACAUGCCCAAGUAAAUAUCAAUGACUAAACUGUGUUUCUAAUACCGAAAGAGGACUAUGCGAGUACUUCAAAUAGGGACUGCAAAGGGGUGGAUUGGGGCUAGACUAGCUAAACUUCCCCAAAACCCUGUCCUUGCAAGUCCAAUCGAAUUAAAGAUUCCCCAUACACAAAAUCCGUCAGGUAAUGGAUCCCCAUCAGUUAAAGGUUUUACCUAUCAUCAUCCUAUCAACAAAAAGGUGUUUUGAAUAGUUAAUUAAGAACCGUCACACACUAAUAUUAUCUGCAUGACCCCUUCAAAGUUGUCGAAAAAGAUUUAUGAACCAAACUAAAUAAACACUAAAAGCACAAAUUAAAAAUAGAAAUAAAAGCUAGAUACAUAAUAACUGUAUUUUUUGUUAUAUAAUAUCGCCCUCGGCGUCACUCUAUUGUUCACAAUUGGUUCGUUUCCCAGUGGCCUUCUUUGCACGUUCGGUCAAUAUGAGGAGGAACCCAAAAAACAAAUAAAAACUGGGGAGAGUCAGAGACCGAUAUUGAAUCAUAUACCCAAAACAGGUUUCUUAAAAUCAGACCAGAGUCCACAGAUUUAAUGGGUUAGAUUGUCUUGCCUAACUUUAACAGUCAUUCCGCUAUUUCGAUCAUCAGUCUCGAGAGAUUAUGUUAUGUAAAAGAGAGGCGCGAUCAUGGUUGCACCAUCAUCAAAUGAAUCGCCCAGCCUCACCAAAAUGUAAAAGGGAGAAGAAAAAGCAGAGAAAAAAAUACAAAAAACAUACCAAAACGCGGGCAUUGCUUAGUCAUGUGGUCAUCGCUCUUCUUACAAAUUCUACAGUAGAUGGGAGGCGGGGAUAUGUGGUUGGAGACAAAAACCAUCGACCCGUUUUUGGUUUGUCAUCUGUCUGUGCUUCCGCUGUAAAAUAAUUACACAAACUUAAUAUCAACAUGGAUGAAUAAUAUGUACUGUUUCCCGUAUUUGUACAAAAGAAAUGAAAAAAAACACUCUUCAUCUUCCUCAUAAACUGAAAAAUUCAGAGAUUGGCACACCCGAAUCACAAACAAAAGUCGAAUAAAAUAAUAAACCUGACUAGUCUUGUUAAUUCGGGGGACAUACUGGUGUUCUUCCUUUCUUUGAGGGAUGAUCUUCGUGCCCUUAUCUCACUCAAUUCUUUUUUCGCUGUUAAAUACACAAAAUUUAAAGAAAUAAUAUCUGGGAUAUACGGGCUUGCUUGCAAAAUUAAUCACAAAACCCUAAAAUUAAAUCAAAGAAAAAAAAAAACAUCAAAACCAUACCGGUCAUUCGAGCAUUAUAGUUUUCCUCGAUAGCAAAAUAAACCUUUCCCGGGGGGAAGUCCUCGAAUUCAUCAUCAUCGCUAUCGUCCCAGUGCCAUAUGAGCUUCCCCCGCUUGCGCAGCUCGUCUGCGUUCGGUGGUAAGUCCGGGAUAUGGCCCUGGAGGGAUUCUGGAUCUGGACUCAAGAGUUUUUGUUUCUUGCUCUGGCGCUCGGACUCGUUACCGCUCUGGCUCAUGGCUGUGUGCGAAAGAGAGGAGAUUCCGGUGGGGAGCCUGGCCUUGUGAAUUGUGAUGAUAAGGGUUUGUUUUUCCCUUUUUCAUUAUUAUUUUUAAUUUCUGUUUUUGGUAAAGGUAUAAUCGCAUUGGAUUUUGAAAUUUUUUUUUACUAACACGUGAAUGUGGUAUGUGUACCAUUACUCGUAAAUAAUAUGUUUUGUUAAUGCGAUAAGGUUAUUAUCAAAUAUAAUCACAUUGAAAAUAAAUUUUUUGAAACUAUAUUUUAAGUCAGAUUUGACCUGUAUCAAUAAAUUUAACGAUUAGAUAUAAAUAUCUGAACUUGUGUAGAAGCUAAUCCAACAUUUUGAUAUGGUUUUCUUAUUGUUUUUCAUAAUCUUGUUUGACAUAUUAUCUGCUUGUGAUAUCUUGAAAACAGAGGAUGCCCACUACGGUUGCAGUUAUUCUAGUUGAUGAGGGCACCAUACAUUUGCAGUGGAUACUAGGGGUUUCUACGAGAUUAAUGAAACUAAAUCUCAUUAUAUCAUGAUGAGGAUAUGAGUUUAACUCAAGACUAUUUAGUUUGAAGUGUGGGACACGAGGAAAUAAUCGAAGUUUGUUUGAACAUUUGGAUAAACAUGUGCAAAAGCCUUUUAAAACAGGUAAUGCACCUUAUAGCUAUAUAUAUAUAUAUAUAUAUAUAUAUAUAUUAUAAGAUAAUGAGACUUUGAAUUAAUGUAGGACAUAAACCUUAUCGUUGAAGGAUUCGCAACGGAAACUAUGCGAUUCAUAGAUAAUACAGGGAGAUGUCUUUGAAAUUGCCAACUUUUUUGUAGGAAGUGAUUCCGUUGCGACUCAUUCAAUAGUAUGGUUUAUGUCCUACAUUAAUUCAAAGUCAGAUGACAUUGUAAUAUAAUAUAAUAUAUAUAAGGUGCAUUACCUGUUUCAAAAGGCUUCGCACAUGUUUAUCCAAAUAUUCAAACAUACUUCAAUUUUCUUUGUAUCCCACAAUUCAAACCAAAUAGUCUUAGUUAAACUCAUGACCCUCAUCAUGAUAUCCAUGAGAUUCAGUUUCACUAUUCUCGUAGAAACCCCUAGUAUCCACUGCAAAUAUGGCGCCCUCAUUAACUAGAAUAACUACAACCGUAGUGGGCAUCCUCUGUUUUCAAGAUAAAAGAAUAAAGCAGGUAAUUAAAAAAUUCCCAUCACAAGUAGAUAAUAUGUCAAACAAGAUUAUGAAAAACAAAGAAAAUAAGAAAACCACAUCAAAAUGUUGGAUUAGCUUCCACACAAGUUCAGAUAUCUGCAUACGUGUAACUACAUAAUGAAUUAAACUCCAUACUUUGAAGAUCAAGGUUUCAUUUCACAUACUUCAUAACAAACCUUUUAUCUAUAUAAACAGAUCCUUUAACAAGAGGAGUUUAUGAGUACAAUUGAAAUUGACAUUGAAACGUUCUCAUACAGUCAAAGCAAUGAUAAAAGCAAGCAACUUUUGAUUGGAGCUGCAAUUUCACAAACAUAAACAACAAAAGAGUUUUAAAUUUGUCCCUACUCCUUCAGACACCACAAGAGCAAAGGACUAUCUAUCUUACAAUUCCCCUCCCACCCCCGACUCAGACGUGUACAAAAUCCCCAUAACACAGCAACUUUGAGGAAGAUAAACAACAACAGGGGAAACAAAAAGGAAAUUAAGAAAACCCCACUUUCAAAUUAGAAGUAGAAACCCAAUUUCCGACAAAUCAAUCAGUAAACCGUCAAUCACAAAAUAAAAUUCCAAAGAAACCCAAAUCCAAUCAAACAGAAAAGUUAACAAAGAAAAGGAAGAUAGUCAACACUCCUUCCUUUUGUGAUGUUUAACAUACAACAAUGUGUUACAUGUCUUACAGUCUUAUCGUCAAAAUGUAAGACAUGCCACACUAUUCAGACAACCCAAGGAGGACUACAGCAGCAAGCAAAAAGAAAUAUUCAAAUAGCAUUAAAGGAAAUAUGCACUGACAAAUAAAGAAGACAACCACAUCAGCAAUCUCAAUAAACAACAGUUGACAAAUAUCAUGUUCUGUGAAAUGCAUUUGAAUGAACCCUUUGAAACUUUGUACCAUAUAAUCACUUUCAAGAGAAUCAUAACUAAAUUAAUUUAUCAUAUUAGCCUUUAAAUCUUAUACACUUAUACAAUAAUCUCUAUUGUCUUUCAUAUUAGCCUUUAUCAUAUUAGCCUUCAUAAACCUGCAGCCGCAAAACAUGAUCAGAUUCAGAGACAUUGCCACCAUUGUAAGGGUCACAACUUUCAUAUUUCUACUUAUGUACACACACAUGAAGAUAUUUCUUAUAUCAAAACAUCAGGUCAUGUAGUUUUUUUAGCUGAGGAGUUGUUGUUAGCAUAUCUAACGGUGUAAGUAUAUGCUUCAAUCAUGUAGAAUCUCAUAUUUACAUGGUUGUUAGCUUGGUCAACAAUGUAAUCCUUCUCAAGAACUUCAACUUUCAAGGAUUAUUGGUAUUCUAAAAUCAUAUCGUCGCUCUAGUUGCAGGAGAUGCUGGAUUCAAACAUCACUCUAAACCCCCUAACCACCACUUAUUAAACUUAAGAGAUGCAAGGUGAAGAUGCACAUGUAUGAAUAUCUAAAAACCACCGAUAAAAAUAAACUCAAUAAACCCAGCUGCAACAGAUCUCAAAAACCACCGAUAAAAAUACAGAAAUGACAAUCCAACCAACCACCACACUUCAUGCAAUUCUACACAAUACAGAAAACAAGAGAGAGCAAGUUACAGAUAUAUUACCUCAGGUAACUUGGCUCACUGUAAUAAACUGAUACCACAACCAGCACUGGAAUCACAACCUGCAGAAAGAGGCAGUUUAAUUCAUCAUUUCAUAUCCUGUUCUCUGCUCUCCAUUACAUAUUUAUACUCCUCAUAACAGGAAAAACCCUAACUACUUGGACAUAAGGAUAAAAGGCUGGUAUGGCCGGCUGCAAGAGGACAAGUAGUGGGCUCAAGUAAAUGGGCUUAACAACUCCCACCCUUAUAUUUUCAGUCGGGCAUUUGGUUAUCAAAUUAUUUUGGGACCAAAAUAAAUAAAUAUCAUUAUAUUGUGUUGUUCUUUCAAAUUAUUCUGGGCAAUCAAUUAGAGGUAUAGAAUAUAAUCGUCACAUAAUUUUCAGAAAUGACCUAUUAAGCGAAACUCUGCCUUCCAUACUGAAAUACGUGUUCUUAUUCCACAAAAAUAACACUCAAACAUGUGUAAUUUUUCUCUUUGUUCCAUCGGGGGUUCUUUAAGCAGUGUUUCUAAAGGGAUGGGUAUAUUUAUACUUUGAAAAUAAGGAAAACUAAUGAAAAUGGAUUGAAAACUUUGAGUUUUAACAAUAAGGAAAACUUUGACUUUUUAGUAUAAAAAUGUGGUUUUUCAUUAAAGUUAACAGUACCACGAGUUUUUCGUUAAAACUCCCAUGAAUAUAUGACAUAUUUAUUUCCUCUAAUCAAAACAGCGGGAUAUGGUUUCUUCAAAUUAAAGGUGAGGAUUUAGGUUCCAUUAGAAUAACAAUAAGAAAACAAUUAAACAUCAACACAUUAGGACACGGUUCACUCACAAUUUCCAGAAUUUCCAUUACUAAAUUCAAUUGUAGUAUAAAGAUUAUAUCCUGAUAUUCCAGAAGUGAUACCAACAUAUAUAUCAACAGCAAACUUACAGAUUCAAUCAAGCUCAACUAUUAUCGCAUUUGACUCCUCGGCACAUUCGACCAAACCCGACCAUCCAAUCUAUCCACCAACUGAGAGAUUAGGACACUUUAAGGGCCCGUUUGUUUGACCUUCUUAAGUUUCACUGGACUAGACUCACUUACUAGUCCAGUGUUUGGUGAAAGCGGGACAACGUUUAAUGGUACUAAGUCGGACUCGUGCCGACUAAGUCCUUCACUGCGUGGUCUUAGCGAGGCCCCUCAAAACGUUUGGGAUUGCUAAUCCCGUCUCCGAACUUGCGUUGUGUGCAACAGUGUUGUCUACAAGCAUGCCUCUCUGCAACUCCAUUUGCCUCCAUGCCCAGAUCUUAAACCCAGAUUUGAAACCCAGCCCACCCAUGCCCAUAUCCGAAACAAAAAAGCAAAACGAAAACAACAAUCUCAGUAAAAAUUCUUCCCUCUUCCCAGAAAAUUCCAAGGAGUGAGAAACAGAGGCAGCAAAGUCCAUGGCGAUGGGUACCGAGAGGACGAAGCCUCUGCAUAAUUUCAGCUUUCCGUGGGAUGUGAAGUGGGUGAUGUUGCUUGCCAGGGAGAGAUGAAGUGCAGAGGCAAGAGGCAAAGAAGAUGAAGUGAAGAGGUAGAUGAUUUGCAAUAAAAAACGAAGUGACAAAAUGGGAGAAAAGGGGAAUGGGGAGGGAGAGGCGGAGAAAACAAUGAAUGAAGACAUAGGGGAGGAUUCUAGAAAAACAGGGAAAAAGAAAGUAAUAAUAAAAUAUUAAUUGAUAUUAAAUUAAAAAUAAAAUAUUAAUAAAUAUAGAUUAAAUAAUAUAAUAUUAUAGUCCUGCUUCUUAGUCUGACACUGCACCAAACGCUUCACUAAGUCAGUCCAGCUUAGUCUAGUCUAAGCCAAUCCAGCUUAGUCCCUGAAGCUAGUCCAGUCCGAGACAGUCCGGUGCAACAAACGCACCCUAAAAGGAUAAUCAAGCACAACAACAGUCGGUAGAUACCUACCUUUUAAGUUAUAUCCAUGGCCGCCCAUUUUAGCUUGCUUGCACAGAUAGAAAAGUGAUGCAUAUGCUAAUGUGAACUUUGCAUAUGCAAUCCAACGUUUGAACUCUUGGCCACUUCCUUCAAAUAAAUUUUUUACCAAAGUGAUGCAUACAAAAUGGUGCACAAUAAGGAGAGCACAGUUCAGGGAAUCAACUAUUCGAAUGGAGGGUAGCACAUGCCUGAAGAAUGCAUGCAAAAUGAGCGUCACAGAUUUAAUGGAUUAGAUUGUCUAGCCUAACUUUAACAUAGUCAUUCUGCUAAUUUUGAUCAUCAGUCUCGAGAGAUUAUGUUUUGUAAAAGAGAGACGCGAUCAUGGUUGCACCCUCAUCAAAUGAAUCGUGCAACCUCACCACAAAGUAAAAAGGAGAUGAAACAGCAGAUAAAAAAAAUACAACAAACAUACCAAAACGUGGGCAUUGCUUAGUCAUGUGGUCGUCGCUCUUCUUACAAAUUCUACAGUAGAUGAAAGGCGGGGUAUGUGGUUGGAGACAAAACCAUCAACCCGUUUUGGGUUUGUCAUCUGUCUAUGCUUCCGCUGUUAAAUAAAUACACAAACUGUUUACACCUAAAAUGUGCCAUUCGGGCUAAAUAUGGUAAAUAUGGCAUUUGGAGGAUGAUGGGACAAAACAUUGAACUUGGAGAGAUAUUUGGCUGCAAGUGGGAUAGUUUGAACAUUAUAAUAUUGUUUUUUCCUUUUGUUUUGGUGGUGGAGGUUUGCCAAGAGCUUUCUUUAAUCAAAACAAUUGUAUGUUUUCAUGUGGAUUGGAAAGGCACGCAAACAUCUAGUACAAAAACAUGUUUGCGCGACGUAGCAAAUUUCAUCGGGCAAAGUAUGUUUGCGCGACGCUAAAAAUAAAACGUUGCGCAAAGCUGUUUGCGCAACAAAACUUUGCGUGACGAAGACUGACGUCGCACAAAGUUUUGGUGCCAAACCAAGAUGUUUUACCGCUUUUUUCCUAAUUUUGCGCAACGUAGGUACACCUGCGUCGCGCAAAGGUUUUUUUUUUUUUUUUUGCAUUACUAAGGAAAUCUCAUGUCAUAAAAUUGAAUCCUUAAAUUGGAUUAAUUUUAAUUAUUAAUAUGCAUCGCUUGAGUACUUGCGGUGAAGAAAGAACAAAUUUUAUGAAUAAGAAAAAAAUAAUUUAAACAAUUAAAGAAAAUUAAAAAUUGUUAGAUGAGUAAGGACCGUAAGGUAACACCGAAAAUGAUAUGACAUGCAGUUGGGAAAGACGAGAGCAAUGUUCCAACAUCAACUUACUUAUAAGGUCUUUUCUUGAGGAAUCAACACUCAAUAACAACCAUAAGCUUUUUGCUCAACCGAGAAAGAAUUCAACCCUUUUUUUACAUACAUAUUAAAAAUAACAAAAUAUUAAUUAUUUGCAAAUUUGCAUUUUUACGUGUUUGUAAUUACAUCUUUGUUUUUGGAUUUUGAAGUAGAGCUAGCCGUAAUUGUACUUUGGUAUGCAUUGACAAAAUUUUAGAUACACCCUUUAAUGCUAAUCCAAAUCAAUAAUGAUUCUAUUGAAGGAUAUUUAAAAAAAAAAAAAAAACUGUGCGCGACGUAGGUACCUCUACAUCGUGCAAAGAUGUUUUGCGCGACGCAGAGGUACCUACGUCGCGCAAAGUUUUUUUUUUUUUUUCCUUUUGCUUUUCUUUUGGGGUUCUUGCAUUACCUUUUUCUUUUGUUGUAUCCACUUGUUUAAAAUUUUUUAAUUGACGAUCGAAUUAGUUCAUUGUAUUCAUAUAGGGGUUAGGAGUGUAGUUCUAAAAAAUCAUCAAAAUUGGACUUAAAACUACCGUUAAAUCGGGCUUUUCAUUUAUAAUCGUCGAAAGGUUUUGUCCCGUUACUUGAUCUUUGAACGUUUGUUUUUUGCGAUUUUUGGCGUACGCGAUCUCGAAGCAUAUACAAACAAGUUUGCCGGUUGGAUCGUUGAAACUAGUUUCGUACAAUGUGUUUCCCAUCAAAACGAUACAUUCACACUUAGAGUUUAUUUAUACUUUCAUCAAGUAUAACAUAAGAUUUUUUUGUAUCCACUUGUGUAAAUAUUUUAAAUUAAAGAUCGAAUUAGUUCAUUGUAUUCAUAUAAGGUCAAGGAAUGUCGCUCUAAAAAAUCAUCAAAAUCAGAGUUAAAACUACCUUUAAAUCAUGAUUUUUCGUUCAUAAUCAUCGAAAAGUUUUGUCCCGUUACUUGAUCUCUGAAUGUUUGUUGUUGUGAUUUUUGGCGUAUGCGAUCUCGAAUUAUGUACAAAAAAGUUUGACAGUUGGAUCGUCUAAACUAGUUUCGUACAAUGCGUAUCCCAUCAAAACAAUAGAUUCACUAAUACUUGGAGUUUAUUUAUACUUUCAUUAAGGAUAACAUAAGAUUUUGUGGUAUCCACUUGUGUAAAUGUUUUAAUUGAUGAUCUAAUUAGUUCAUUGUAUUCAUAUAGGAUCAAGGAGUGUCGCUUUAAAAAAUCAUCAAAAUCAGAGUUAAAACUACCGUUAAAUCGUGAUUUUUCGUUUAUAACCGUCGAAAAGUUUCGUCCUGUUACUUGAUCUCUGAAUGUUUGUUUGUUGCGAUUUUUGGCGUAUGCGAUCUCGAAGUAUAUACAAACAUGUUUGACGGUUGGAUCGUUGAAACUAAUUUCGUAGAAUGCGAAUGCCUAUCCCAUCAAGUUCAAUGGUAUAUAUAUAUAUUUAUUAAGUAGCUUUACAUUUAUUUAUCUUGUACGUAUAAUACUUAAGAAAUUGAAUGGUAUAUUUAUUUAUUAAGUAACUUUAAAUUUAUUAUUGUAGUUCGGAUAGGGUUUUUGUUAGAAAAAUAUAUUAUUAUGGGUUUUAUUUAUGUAAAAAAAAAUUGAAUUUAAAGGAAGUAAUUUCACAUUUUUAGUAUAUUUUAUAAUAAUUAUUUUAAAAAAAAUAUAACUCGCGCGACGUCACAAUGAAGUCGUUGCGCAAAAGCACUUUGCGCGACGUCAGAAUGUAUACCUGCGUUGUGCAAGUUCUUAAAAUUGUGGCGGUUCCAAUUGUUAAAAAUAGGCGCUUAUUUUGAAUCUUCCCAAAUUACUCUGGACAAAAUUACUCUGAUCUCGCCCUCUCUUUCACUCCGUCUCGCGUAGCCUUCCUCCCGACUGCACCCAGUCAGCCUCCUCCUCAUCCUUCCUCCUCACCCUCUCCCGUAGCCUUCCUCCUCGCCUUCCGAACAACCUCCAAGCCCCAACAGUUCUCCCACGACGACGAGGACUCCGAUUCCGAUUGCGUCGAGAUUAAACACGAACUAGAGGACGACGCCACCGAUUGCGUCGUUAUUAAGAACAAAUUGGAGGACGACGAUGCGGACGAGGUUUAAUGGAAAAUAAAUGGUAUUUGCACAUUGCAAUCUGACCAAGGUAAGACUAGAACCAACUAAGAAUUGAAAUCAAUUAAUAAUUUCAUAUGUUUCUUGAUUAAGUUCCUUGGAUUACUAUUGAUUUUGUAGUGGAACUGCCGGGGGAAACUAAAAUCUAAAAAGAAACUUUCUUUGUGCCUUUUGUAGUUCUUCCGCCGCUUUCACCCCCUUCGCUCUCUCUCUCUCUUCGAUAGCUUUGAGAGAAGAAGACUAAAAAGGCAUUUUCAGCUUGAAGAAUCUCUCUCUAUCCUUGUGGGAUUGUAUUUCUGCAAAUCUUAGUUAGGUUUAUGGAUAUGAGAUACAAAAUUGGACCGUGGGAAUCAGCCAAGAAAGUCGUCGUAUCUCCUGCAAUCUUUUCGAAGUAUCAGCCGUCGGAUCGAUUAACGCCUUGGUGUGUUCUUCCCAGAUAACACCCAGUUCUCGGAUUUCAUAUUUAUAUAUAAAGGAAGGUACUUUUUUGAUGUUCCAAUUCAUGGGUUUCAUGUCUCUAUUAAUUUAUUUUUUAGUUUUCUUUUGCGCUUGAAAUUCUUAUUUUCUAUAUAGGACUUUUGGAAUUCUAGACAACCAUUUGCGGUUUUUUCAUACAAGUAUUUGUUUUAUACUUCGUAUUCUAGAAUUUUGAUUGUAUAGUGAGAUGAACAUGAAUUUGAGGUUGUUAAAUUUCGAGCUCUAUAAUCACUUUCAUGCUAGUUUUUGGAUCUGAUAUCUCCAGUUUCUUUGUAUGUUCCGUGCAAGUUACGGACUUGUCUUACUAGCAAAGUAACCUGUACAUCAUGCUAGCUUUUUACAUCAUGCUGUUACUUGGUUUGUGAUGACUGUUGCUAAUAUUCUUUAUUUUUGUUUUUCGUCAGUUUUAUAUUCUAUAUAUGUUCAUUAGGUGGAUGUCAAGGGAUCGAGCUAAGUCUGGUGGUUGGGCUGCCUUUGACCUCAAGUAGCGCCAGAAACAAGGCCUUGAGCCUUAAGUUGACAAGGAUCGUUUCCCACCUAUACCGACCAAUCUAACUUCUCUACAUCCUCGUGCAAACUUACCGAGGAAUAAUGACCUUCUGGGCAGGCCUUUUUCAACUCUACAUCUCCCAUCUGUAGAUUGUCCAACUUUGGCAGAGAAUAGGGUUGGGAAAAGGCCUUUAUUAGAUGGCGAUUCCAGUGGGAAACAGUACACUUCCGUGGAAGAUAAUACAUCUUCCAUGAAGAAGAUCAUGUAUUUUACCCUUGGGCUGACGAUUUCUUGAUUGAGGAUAUUAUGGUUGGUAUUGAUAAUGAUAUGGAUAAGGCCUCAAUUUUAUUGAAACAAUGGUUUCCCCUAGCAGCUGUGAAGAGAAUAACCGAACUAGCAUUUCAAAAAACAACUCCAGUUUAAAUGGACCGCCAUAAUUUUUAGAUUAAGUUCCUUGACUAGAAACAACUUUUAUUAAUUUUUAUAGAUUUUAGUUUUGUUGUUAAAUGACUCAUUGACUUGUGUGUUUCUGUUGUAGGAGCUUUGGUCUAUGCUAGAGUUUAUGAGCUCGUAUUGCAAAAACUUCAGAGGUUAACUCGAACAGUAUUCUUAAGGUUCUUCCUGGCAGAUCUCCAACUAUUUUGUUUAGUUUCGUAUGGUGCGUUUGUCUCGACUUUCAUGUUUUUGACAUCCCAGUUUUGUGUUCAGAUUGUAUAUAUGUUUGCUUAUUGUUCUUUUUUUCUUUUCUCAUUCUCUAGAUUGCAAAUCAUCCUUUACUAGUAAGGCGUAUUUACAGUGAUGAGGAUGUUGUUCGUUUUGCCAGAAAGUUACCUUAGACAAAGUAGUUGGGGAACUUAAGAAUUAUAGUGACUUCUCUAUCCAUUGGGUAUUUUCUCAACUUCUUGAAAAUGAAUUUGUCUUUCAAAUUUUGAUACAUUACUAUCAAUGUUUUGGAACGAUUUGAUCAUCCGGGGCGUACAGUGUUCGUGUGCCUGUGUAUGUGUGUAGCAGAUUACAUAUUGUAUGUUGAUAUUGUUUAUGCUCUCUCUCUCUGUGCAGCUUUUGCUGUAUUAUGGUGUCUCUGAUAAGAAAUGAUUGCUUCAAGACAAAUAUGCAUUGCUUUCUUCAAAAUCUCAGGUAUAAUGCUACUUUAAUAACUUCACUAACCAAUUGAUCUGAGUCAAAAUUUGGAGAGAGUUGUCAUAUGAUACUCUCUGCUCAAAACUGAGGAGAGUUUUCUUGUUUAUGAUGGCAUUGGCUGAACUUCUUCCUUCACUGAAGCUAGCUGGGCAUCGUGUUUCAGCCAAUGGACGUCAAUGCUUGAUAUUUUGGAGUGGACUUUGUGUUACAUACAGACGACUUGAUGGAAGGUACUGGUGUACUUUUAUCACAUUUACGGAUUGUUCUUAUCAUAAAACAAUGUGCCAUGCCACAUGGUAUAUCUGUUUUAUAAUCUGGCUUGCUCAGUUCCACUUGUUGAUUGUGGUUAAUUGAAUUGUUACCUCAUUUGUUGUAAGUUGCGUUUCUUGUCUGUUAACCCAUAUCUUCUGAGUGUCAGCACUCAGGUGACAGAAUGAUAGACGAUAAUUGAUACAUUCAAUAAUGGCACUUCUAUAUUUGCUUGCUUGCUGUCCACAAGAGCUGGAGAACAGGGUUUGAACUUGGUUGGAGCUGAUACCGUAGUUAUUCAUGAUAUGGAUUUCAACCCGCAAAUUGAUCGACAGGCAGAAGAUCAUUGUCAUUGCAUCGGCCAAGUGAAGGUUGUUACCAUAUACAGGUUUGCCUCUCUUUAAUUUCCCAUCUCCCUCCUCACCUAUACUUACCAAUCUGAGAGAAGCACCUUUCAGGUUUAACCCUCACCCCUUCUUCCCUGCUUUUAUAAUGUGGUAUUGGUUUGAGUCAUAAACUUGAAUAGAAAAUUGUUGGAUCAUGUCCUUUACAGGCUAGUCACUAAGGGUACAAUUGAUGAAAAUGUCUACGAGAUUGCGGAAAGGAAGUAGUGCUAGAUGCUGCAGUCCUGGAAUUUGGCGUGGAGAUGGAUAAUAAAGGUGACACAUCCACCAUGAGAGAGAUAUUAUCGAAACUUUUUCUUGGUUAAAGAUUUUAGAAAACUUACAGUUGAUCUGCCGAUAGAGAAACUGCAAUUGGAAACCCUUGUAAUUUAGUUUUUGUAUUUUUCAAGUCACACCUUUGACCUCCCAACUGAUACCCAAUAGCUUGAUGUAUCAAACCUAGAAGACUACUUCUUGUAGUUUUUUUUUUGUUCGAACAUCUUGUAUGUAUAUUUUUAUAUAUAUUAUAAUUAAAUACUUUUUCUUGGUUUAUUAAUUAUUGUUUAGAAUUUAAUUACAAUAUUUAUUAAAAAUAAAAAAAAAUUAUUUUCGCCAAAAAAUAAAAAUAAAAAACAAGGGUUUGCGCGACGAAGAAGUAACCUGCGUCGUGCAAAGUGGUUUGCGCGACGUAGGUCCUUGCGUCGUGCAAAACUACUUUGCACGACGCAGGUUACUUCUUCAUCGCGCAAACCUACUUUGCGCGACGCAGGGAACUAUGUCGUGCAAAGUAGUUUUGCGCAACGCAGUUUAAUUCUUCGUCGCGCAAACCCUAGCGUCACUACAAUGGCGAGACGGUUGGUGCGCGACGACGCUUCGUUGCACUAAUUUUUGCGCGACGUUUUUUUGACUUUGAGCGACGAAGGGCAUGCGUCGCGCAAAGUGUUUUUUUUUACUAGUACAGAGAAUAUGUUAAAGUAGCCACCUUACUUUUUUUAAAUGUUAGUUUAUUACAAGUGGUGGAGACAUGUGGUGAAAGCAUGUGGUGGAGAUACAAAUUUGCUUAUUUUAAUAUUAUUUCACAAUGCAAGCUGCAUAGGAGUUUCUUUUGGGCAGGUCCAUUGUUCUUAGCAAAGGGACUCCUUCAGAUCUCUAUAUAAAGGAGCAGAGGUAGAAGGAUUAUGGACACUCAACCAAUCAAACAAACAAAUACACAAACUCUGCUCAAGCCAGAUUUGCAUAUAAAGCUGUAGUCAACCCCCAACCUCAAUCCUUUUCAGGAUCAGCCCUCACAAAAGUCAUCUUUUGUCUAGUUUAUUAGCUCUGCUGCUUAUCAGUAGUAUCGAUCUCAUUUGUAGUCUUUAUGUACAACUCAUUUUCAGUCAAUUAAUCUACAAGCAAUCAGCAAUAUUAGUCAUUCACUUUCCUCUGUACAACCUUUCCAUUUACAUAUUGUUCCAUUUCUUCAUAUAAGAAAAGUCCUUAUCUUUAAGGCAAACAAAGAACCUUGAUUUGAGCCACUCCCACUCAAUGGCACAAUCUCUUGGUUCGAAGUCAAUCUCAGGUGCAACCUCAAUCAUUCAAAACCCGUCUACUAGUGGCAUCUAGUAGUGGCACACUCGCACCCACCAAUCUCAUGUUUGAAUAAAUUCCUGGUAUGCCCGCGAGGCCCAUGACGAAUUUAGGGAAUGAACACAAACUUAAUAUCAACAUAGAUGAAUAAUAUGUACUAUUUCCCGUAUUUGUACACACACACACACACACAAAACAUUCUUCAUCUUCCUCGUAAACUGAAAAUUCAGAGAUUGGCUCACCUAAAUCACAAACAAAAGUCGAAAAAAAUAAUAAACAUAACUAGUCUUGUUAAUUUGGGGGACUUACUGGUGUUCUUCCUUUCUUUGAGGGAUGAUCUUCGUGCCCUUAUCUCGCUCAAUUCAUUUUUUCGCUGUUAAAUAUGUUUGGAAAGAAUAUAUUUUCAUUGAAUGAAUAAUAAGAUUACAAAAUUGUUGUAUAUAUACAACUCAUUUACACAUGUCACUACCAAUCACUAUUUAACUAACAAACUACACACCUCAACUAACAAAACAAAUAUCUAACUAACUCUAAGUAUUAUCCAACUGAAUCAUUUACAUAAUUAUCCUCAAUAUCCCCUCUCAACUGAGCUAAGGACAAACGAAGUGAUAGUUGGAUCGUAGAAGUUAAAAUCUAAGCUUAGAGAGAGCUUUGGUACAAAUAUCUGCUAGCUCAUCCUGUGUGCAAACAUAAUGAACAUAAACUUCUUUGGCCAAAACCUAUUCUCGAAUGUAGUGGUAGUCAAUCUCAAUGUGUUUGGUGCGAGCAUGAAACAACGGAUUCUUAGCUAAAGAUAUGGCAGAAACAUUGUCACACCAGAGUUGAUGAAUAGAAGGAGGUUUGUAGCCAAUAUCAACCAACAGUUUGUAGAUCCAAGUGAUUUCAGCAGUAGUGUUAGCAAGUGAUCGGUAUUCAGCCUUAGUAGACGAGUGAGCAACAGUGGGUUACUUUUUGGCAUUUCAACUAAUAAUGGAUGAGCCUAGAAAAAUGCAUAAACCUCUAGUGGACUUUCUGUCAAUUGAGCAGAUUGCCCAAUCAACAUCGGAGAAUGAUGUAAUUGAUGGAGUGGAUGAAAUUUUUGAAAACCAUAAUCCCAUAUCAAUAGAGCCCUUAAGAUACUUGAAAAUUCUUUUCACUGCUUGAAAGUGUGAUUGUCAAGGACUAUGCAUGAAUUGGCAAACAAGAUUCACAGCAAAGGAAAGAUCGGGCCUUGUCCAGGUUAAGUAUUGAAGAGCUCCCACUAGAGAUCUAUAUUAUGCAGGAUUUUCCAGUAAGGGAGAUGUGUGAUCCAAUUUGGAAGUCCUCAGAUGAGUUACACAAGGUUUUACUCUAUCCAUUUGUGCUUUCGUCAACAUAUCCAGUAUGUAUUUGGUUUGAGAAAUGUGAAUACCUUUGGAUGAUCUUUUUACCUUAAUACCAAGAAAGUAGUGGAGAACAUUUAAAUCCUUGAUGGGAAACAUGGAACUGAGUUGAGCUAUUACUUGUUUGCAAGCUUGAGGUGAUGGUCCAGUGACAAUGAUAUCAUCACCAUAAACCAACAUAAACACCAUUGGAUUUGUUUUGACAAAUAAAGAGUGAUCAGACUGAGAACCAAUGAAUCCCAGAGAUGUCAAAGCUCCAUGAAGUUUCUCAUACCAAGCUUUUGGAGCUUGUUUUAGUCCAUAGAGGGAUUUGUGGAGAUGACAUAUAUGAGUAGGAUGAAUAAGGUCUUCAAAUCCAGGUAGCUAUUGCAUAAACACAUGUUCAGUGAGAUUACCAUGCAAAAAUGCAUUGCUUACAUCCAGUUGAUUGAGAAACCAAUCAUAUUGUGCCGCCAACAUGAGGAGAAUUCGAAUAGUGACAAGUUUAGCAACUUGACUAAAUGUCUUAAUGUAAUCUAAACCUUCUUGCUGGUUAAAACCUUUGGCAACUAGGCGUGCCUUGUACUUCUCAAUAGUGCCAUCAGGUUUCCUCUUGAUCCUGAAAACCCACUUACAACCUACUAUAUUGGUAGAAUGAGAUUUGGGAACUAAAGACCACAUUCUAGUUUGUUUCAGUGCAAGGAACUCAUCUUGCAUAGCUUUAACCCAAUGUGGACAUUUAAAGGCCUGAAGGUAAGUAACGGGAACAUAAUCAUGGGAAAAGUGAGGAGGUAAAUAAUGCUUUGUUGCAGUUAAAGCUUUAGGCUUGUAGAUACCAGAUUUUGAUCUGGUUUGCAUUGGAUGAAUGUUGGUGGUAGUACUUGGAACAUUAGGAGGUGGUGAAGAUGCAUUGGUUAGAGGGGCUGGAGAGACUUGAAUAUGCUCAGUCAGAAAGACUGGAGUAUGCUCCUAAUUAGAGACACGUGAUGAUGCAUGAACAUGGGUGAAUUUGCUUGUAGAAAAUGUCAACUAAGAUGGAAUAGAGUGACAAAGUGGUACAUUGGAUGAUGUUGAUGUUGAGCUUACUGCAGGAACUUACUUGUGAAAAAAAAAGGUUGAUUCAUCGAAGAUAACAUGUUUGGAAACAUAUAUCUUUUGUGAGCUAAGAUCUAGACAUUUGUAACCCUUAUGAUUAAAACUGUAGCCCAAAAAAACACACAGUUUGCUUUUGGGAUCCAACUUGGAUUGAGAAUAGAGCUGCAACCAAGGAAAACAACUACAACCAAAUAAUUUCAGAGUGUGAUAAGAAGGUGAUAUGUUGAACAAUAAUUCUCAUGGUGAAGCCUUGGAUGCAGUAGGUAUUCUGUUGAUGAGAUAAAAUGUAGUAGCAAAGGCAUGAUCCCAAUAGAUAUGAAGAACUUGAGAUACUGUUAAUAAGAUCCUUGUUGUCUCAACUAAGUGUAUGUGUUUGCACUCAGAACAACCAUUUUGUUCUGAGAUGUGAGGACAGCUUAGUUGAUGAUUAAUGCCAUGCUCAACAAGAAAAUUGGAAAAUUGGAAGCUCAAAUAUUCACCACCAGAAUCAGAUCGUAGAGUCAUAAUUUUGGUACACAACAUAUUCUCAACAUGAGCUUUGAAUUUGACAAAAAUACUUAAGACAUCAUAUUUGUAUUGCAUAGGAAAGAACUAAUAAUAUUUGGUAAAAUAUCUACAAAGAUGACAUAAUACCUAUAGUGAUGUACAGAAGAAACAAAUGAUGGCCCAUAAACAUCUGUGAAGUAGUUCCAAAGGUUUACUUAUAUGACAAGGUACAGACACAAAUGGUAGUCUAGAGCUUUUACUUAAUGCACAACCAUUACAAAAUGUGGUGUGUUUAUUACCAGAAACAGAAAUACAAGACUGAGAAGUCAACUUAUUUAUGAUCUUAGCAUAGGGGUGGCCUAAUCUUUGAUACCCGAUAUCCCUUGAAGCAUUAACAGAGGCAGCAAAUGCAUGAGGAUGAUUAAUCACAGAGCUAGAGUUGAGAAGGUUAAAAGGAUAGAAGCCAUCUCUCACUGCUCCUUUAAAGAGCAUCUUCCUCGAAGAAAUAUAUUUCACAGUGAAGUGAAAAAGAUAAAGAUGCAUAGAACACCAGUUAUCAAUAAGAAAUUGAUUCGCAGAAAACAAGUUAUGUUUCAAAUCAGGGACAUGUAACAUAUUAUUAAGUUUAAAACUGUAAUGAGGAGUAUGUAAGCAAGAAGAUCUAGAGUGAAAAAUUGGCAAACCUUUGCCAUCUCCAAUAUAAACUUGCUCAAGCCAUGUGUAAAAUUCUGGAUUCUAAAGAUUGUUGUACGAGUCGGUCAUAUGAUUGCUAGCUCCAGAGUCAACAAGCCAAGUUGGAGAAGGAACAUUUAUACUGGCAACCAUAGCUGAGGGAGAAAAGUGACCAGAAAAAUUUGGACUCAUACACUGAAGACAAUCAAAUGCCACAUGCCCAAAGUGUUGACAAAUUUGGCAGGGAACUUUCUUGCCAGAUGAGUUGAAAUUGGAGCGACCACCACGAUUGUACCUUUGAUAGCCUUAACGAUUGGAAUUUUGUCGAAAAUUGUUGUUUUGGAACUGCAUCGACUCUGAAAAUUCCUAGGGUUUGAGAAAGAGCAUUGACCUUAAGCAUUGUUGCGCUCCAGACCACGACCUUGUGAAAAAUUGGAAUUGGAGUUGUGUGACGCCAUAAGAGCUUGAGAAGUAGGCGUGGGAAUAACACCAGAAGAAGAAUUGAAGGCCUGAAACGACGAGGAUUGAGAUGUUUUCUUCCGAUUGUUCAACUGAAUCUCCCUGUUGAGAAGAGGACCAUGAAGUUCAUCGAUUGUCGUGGAUCCAAGGUGAAACUGAAUCCCAUCAACAAAAGAAUCAUAUUCCGGUGAAAUGCCAUGAAGUAUGAUAGAAAUCAACUCAGAAUCUUCACUCGGAGCUCCAGCGCUAGCAAGAGCAUCAGCGAUCUCUUUAAUUUGUUGAAGAAAUUGUGCAGCAAAGGAAUCUCCCUUAGUUAGGCUUUGAAAAUGAGAUCGGAGCUCAUGAAUGUGCAAUUGAGAAGCAGUCGCAAAUCUCGAUUCUAGUUUGGCCCACAGUUCUCUGGAAGAAUUGACUCUAACAGUAUAAGGAAUCAACAAAUCAGAAAGUGUAGAGUUGAUCCAUAUAAGAAUGUUUUGAUCAUUCUCAAACUAGGUAACAUAUGAUGGAUUCAGAGUGCAAUUUCCAUUUGCAUUAGUGAGAAAUUAAGGCGAUGAAGCAACUGAGCCAUUAAUGACACCAGUAAGGUUGUAGCGACGAAAAAUUGGAACGAACAAGGCACUCCAGGUCAAGUAAUUUGUCAUGGUCAGCUUGAUUGGCACCAUAGAUCUAAUGUUCUGAAUUGUAAUGGAAGCAAUUUGAGAGGCGCCAGAGAAAUUAGGGCUUAAAUCGAUGAUCGGAGGAGAAUGAAUGUGAGAACCAAAGUUAGAAGAAGGAGAAGCCGAAGUCGCCAUUAAAAUUCGUAGAAGAAAUUAGGGUUUACAGGUGCAAAAAGCUUCAAGAAAGAGAAAGCUUAGUGAUGAAGGUUUGCAAGAAAACUUAGCAGCGAGGCAGAGAGGAAAAGCGUGGAUGUGGAUCUAGUCGCUAGAUAGAGGCGGGUGAUACCAUGUUUGGAAAGAAUAUCUUUCCAUUGAAUGAAAAAUAAGAUUACAAGAUUGUUGUAUAUAUACAACUCAUUUACACAUGUCACUACCAAUCACUCUUUAACUAACAAACUACACACCUCAACUAACAAAACAAAUAUCUAACUAACUCUAAGUAUUAUCCAACUGAGUCAUUUACACAAUUACCCUCAAUAAAAUACACAAAAUUUAAAGAAAUAAUAUAUGGGAUAUAUAGGCUUGCUCGCAAAAUGAAUCACAAACCCUAAAUUAAAUAAAAGAAUAAAAAAUCAAAACCAUACCGAUCAUUUGAGCGUUAUACCUCGAUAGCAAAAUACACCUUUCCCGGGGGGAAGUCCUCGAAUUCAUCAUCAUCGCUAUCGUCCCAGUGCCAUAUGAGUUUCCCCCGCUUGUGCAGAUCGUCUGCAUUCGAUGGUGGUGGUGGUUGGGGGGGGAGGGGGGGUGUCUGCCACGCAUUGUUCGCUCAUGGCAAUUUGGAAGAUUGCACUGGUGAUCGAGGUAGGGCUUAGGCUUGUGGUUUGGAGGCAAGGACGGGAAAUUAGGGUGAGAUAUGUUUAUUACGACCUACAAGCCAGACCAAAACAGAAACUGAUUCCUAGCAAAAAUAACUGACGUCCCAAAGUGUGUUUGAUUGUGUUGAAUGUAAUUUUCAAUAGGUUGUUUCAUUAACACCACAACUAGCAUAUGCCCCACUCAAAGUGUUUGUGAAUUUUUUUAUUUUUGUUUUUAAAAUUGAAGAGCAAAGAAAGAGAGUGAGAGAAAAUGUGUGGGAGUGGGGGAAGAGAGAGGUUUGUUUUUAAUAUAUAUUUUUUAAAUCAUAGAUGUUAAAAUCACCAGAAUCUAAGACUUAAACAAAAAAUGCAAUUUUUUUUUUGUAAAAUUACGUUGUUGCUCUUAUUAUUUUUUUUUUUGUGUGAUAGAAGAAUAAAUAGUCUUUUUACUUCAUUUUGGUUGAUAAAGAGCGUUCUAUUAAAGCAUAUGCAAUGGAAGUACCUAUUUAGAGACUCACACCACCACUUUUGAGUUCUAUUAAAGCAUAUGCAAUGGAAGUACCUAUUUAAGGAUUUAAAGGGAUUCUUUGUGUCCCUAAAGGAAUAUUGUCUCCAAUGGGAUAGUCCUUAUAGUAGGAUCCCUAAAUUUGAAGCUUUUAUGAUUUUAUGUGAUAAUUUGAUUAGGUGCGUGUUUUUUGUUUAUUUUAACAUUUUUUUAAUUAAUUGAAAGCAUGAAAAUUAAAAACAUUAAAAACAUUAAAAUCUUUAAUCAAGAUUGUGCGUCCCGUUUUCCACUCAAGGUGCACAUUUUUUUGUUUAUGUUAACACAUUUUUAAUUAAUUAAAAGCAUUAAAAGCUUCAAUCACAAUUUGUGAGCCCCGUUUUCCACUUAAGGUUGUCCCCAUACAGUCCUUAUAUGUGAGGACAUACACCAUGUAUCAUGUGAAUCCCUAUACUUUAGGGACUCACUUUCCGAUCAAUUGGAGAUUCAUUUUGUCUCUAUAUUUGUUUAUUACCCAUUUUAUUCAGUGGUUGUCUCUAUUUAAUGACUCCACUGGAAAUGCUUUCAAUAUGUUGAAUUCACUCACAAUUAAAAUUUUAAUUAUACUAACAAAUAAAUAAAAAUAGUGGGAUUUUAAUAUAAAAAUUAUUUUAAUUUUCAGUGCCACAUGUGACAUGAGGAGAAAAAAAAAAGACAAGUAAAAAAGUUGCUAACAUUUCUCUAAAAAUAAAAUAAAGUUGUAAUACAUAACAAAUACAUUAUCUGAUAUGUAAUAAAAAUGAGGGAAAGUGGCAUUCAUUCUGAACUAUAUAUUCAAAUUGGGUUCCUAAAAACAAAUUUUAUCUUCAAUCAGCCAGCAAUGAACUAGUAAUGUGCGAAUGUAUUGAAUAAUUGCAAAUUAAUUUAUUUGUUUAUUAAAAUUCUAUUCUCAUUAACUCGAGCCAAACUUAAGUUCGAGGUCAUGGUGAAAUUAUCAGCCAACAAACCGUGACCUCGAGCCCGAUCCACAAACGAAUCGAGCUGAACUUCAUCUUGAAUAAAUCAUUCCAGUCGAUCCUAGAACACAACUAUAUAUAUGCUGCAGAUAAUUAAACAAGCAUGAGGCCAUCAGAUAUCUGCAUGAUAUGACAACAUUUUUUACUUAAUUGACUAUCAGUUCAGUCGCCAGCUUACUAGCUUAGGCUAUAUAAUUUCCAAAGCAACAGAUCAUCUAGGGUUUAGCUAGCUGCUAAUUAAACUGAAAAAUACAAAUGGAAAUAAGAGGCUUGAUUUCAAACAUUGAUAAGACAAAAGGUUAAUGUAACAAGAUUUUAUUCAUAAUAAACGAUAAAAAAAUUUCACAACCAAACCGAAUUAAGCAUAUGAUAAAAAUAAGAACAUGAACUAAAUGUUCAUAGAUACAUAGUAUAACAGAAAAAUACACGCGAUUUCUUGCUAGUAGUGUUUCACUGUGACGUUGCAUUGUGUAACAAAGUAUGCAUUUGGAAGGUCCACAAAAACCGUUUUAUAUGUAAUAUAUCCCUGAACAAAUCGAAACUGUCCGGUACCUGAAACCACCGAUAAUUCUCUAUAUUGCUCGAAUUGCUUAUCAAUUCCCUGUAUCUGUAGAGUGCUUCCAUUGUACUUCUUGUUUGUGAAUACAAUUGAUAACAUAUCAUAGGCAUUACGUCCAUCCAAUGACGAUACCAUAAACAUGCCUUGUAUCCGGCCAACGGAGGCGGAUUUUAGGUCUAUGCCCUCCGUUAAAGGGGCAUCCUCCGCAUAAACAGUGGCAAAUUGAUCGUAGUUCCAAAUCUUGCCGGGAAUACCUGCAAACGCAACAUCAGUGAUAUUUGCACCAGAUAAGAAGUCAUGAGCGUAGAAAGACAGGAGGGUUUCCUUGAACUCGUGAGUGGCUUGGAUUGCUGGAAAUGUAGUCAUGGCUAGAACAACCAUGACGAAAAACAUGGAUGGAGCACUGAGCUUUGGUAUAUAUGAAUUUUAACGCCAUUAGUGGAUACAUGACAGCUAGUUGAGCAACCAAGAGAAAAGGUUAAUUAGGAAAAUUAGGGAACAAUUAAGGUUUUGAAUUGCUUGGUGAGGUUCAGUUAUGGGUAUGCUUUCAAUUUAUAACAUGAAAAAGGAGCAAUUAUUUCUGCUAGUCAUCUGUUUAACUUCCCUAAAUUACUUCCGUGUUGCUUCCUGAUCACUUGAGAAUUGUUUAAGCAAUAAUAUAUCCAUGCAUGCAACACACUUUAAUAUACAAAUACAUUAAAUCCUGUUGCCAGCUGACUGCACCAGAUAAGAUGUCAUGAAAGUAGUCAUGGCUAGAAGAACCAUGACCAAAAACAGCUUUGGUAUGAAAUUUAACGCCAAUGGGUUGAUGCAUGGGAGCUAAUUGUGCAACCAAGGGAAUAGGUUAAUUAGGAAAACUUAAGGAGCAAUUAAGGUUCUGAAAUUGCUUGGUGAGUUACAGUUAUGGUUCUACUUUCAAUAAAUAAUAUAUAAAGGAGCAAUUAUUUCUGCUAAUCAGCUGUUUAACUUCUCUAAAUUACUUCCACGUUGCUUCCUGAUCACUUGAGAAUUGUUUAGGCAAUAAUGCAUCCAUGCAUGCAACACGCCCUAAUAUGUAAAUGUCAACUAUUUGACUUCUAGAUUACUUCCUAAUCACUUGAGAAUUGUUUAUGCAUAAUGCUUACAAGCAACACACCCAUUAUAAAUAGAUUUUUGUGUACAUGAGGCAUCCAAUUGUUUUAUUUCUUGUUCAAAAGAAGAAAUUUUUUUUAUUUCUACACGUUUUCCCUUAAUCAAUAUAGUUUAGGAAGGAAGUAAAUCAUUACGGAUGCCGAUUUGAAGAAAGUUCCUGAAUGACAAACACAGAUAAACAGAGAAGCAAAGAACCAAAUUUGAUACUGUAUAAAUCAAAUUUUACUCUCACUCAUCUUCGCUUCUCAGGUUUCUUUGCUUCUCACUUUAGCAAACAUCAUCAUCCUCCCUACGGUAUCAUGAGUUGACAGAGAGUUGUGCCACAUGUGUGCCAAAUAGAAAAGAGAUUGCUGAUUCAGAAGAGAACAAAGGCUCCUGCAAUAUUUACUCACCGAGGGUGUUUAUGUUUUUGGUUAAAAAGAGAAUAUUUUGGCUAAAUUUCUAUACAAAGAGAAAAUUUUGGCUAGGUUUUCAAAUUUCUCGCGGAAAACCGAAUGGGACCGGAAUACGAAUUGAUUUUUCCAAAAACAAGGGAAUUUGGCUUAAAUAAUGAAAUAAUAAUGCUGAAAUAGUCACUUUUGGGAUUUUGUUGAUAUUUUGCUAAUAUUUAUUUGAUAAAUUUAUCAAGUUAUCACUGUUCUAAAAAGCAGUAGUGGUGGCCAGUCGCGGCGAUUUUGCUUAAAUCAGGAGAAAAAAAUCGAGAUGUGGGUUAGGCGGCUGUUUGGGCGGAAGUCAAGUCCCUUUGUGACCAUGACAACUGCACGAACACCAUGUAAAACCCCUCCCCAAAAUUAUUUUGCAAUUUUACAUUUCCCCUAAAAGUUUAUGUAAUUUUGCAUUUUGGUCCCCUUAUCUAUUACCCUAUUCGGAUCUUUUUUCAUAUUUUCUCUCAUCUCUUC